Molecule: unclassified non-coding RNA, 254 nt
Filed under: Tremellales sp.
Lineage: Eukaryota; Fungi; Basidiomycota; Tremellomycetes; Tremellales
Description: partial contains 5.8S ribosomal RNA, internal transcribed spacer 2, and large subunit ribosomal RNA
Source: RNAcentral
CGCACCUUGCACCUUUUGGUAUUCCGAAAGGUAUGCCUGUUUGAGUGUCUUGAAACCUCACUCUCAGGAGUUUUUCUUUUGAGACGUGGAUUUGGGUGUUGCAGUUAUGCUCACCUUGAAUAUCUUAGUGGUUCUGAACCGCAGCCUGAUGUAAUAAGUUUCAUUAGGUCAUGGAGAAGGCUACUUCUAAUCGCCCCUGUGGCAACUUUUUAAGACUAGACCUCAAAUCAGGUAGGACUACCCGCUGAACUUAA